Molecule: ribosomal RNA, 382 nt
Filed under: Snodgrassella alvi
Lineage: Bacteria; Pseudomonadati; Pseudomonadota; Betaproteobacteria; Neisseriales; Neisseriaceae
Description: bacterial SSU rRNA
Rfam family: Bacterial small subunit ribosomal RNA
Source: RNAcentral
AGAUUAAACAUAAGAGUUUGAUCCUGGCUCAGAUUGAACGCUGGCGGCAUGCUUUACACAUGCAAGUCGAACGGCAGCACGGAGAGCUUGCUCUCUGGUGGCGAGUGGCGAACGGGUGAGUAAUGCAUCGGAACGUACCGAGUAAUGGGGGAUAACUGUCCGAAAGGAUGGCUAAUACCGCAUACGCCCUGAGGGGGAAAGCGGGGGAUCUUAGGACCUCGCGUUAUUUGAGCGGCCGAUGUUGGAUUAGCUAGUUGGUGGGGUAAAGGCCUACCAAGGCGACGAUCCAUAGCGGGUCUGAGAGGAUGAUCCGCCACAUUGGGACUGAGACACGGCCCAAACUCCUACGGGAGGCAGCAGUGGGGAAUUUUGGACAAUGGGG